AAAACAUGUUUAAUGAUCUCACCAUCUCACAUUGUGUAUUAACAUAAUGGUCAAAAUAUAGAACCUCCGGGAAAAUUAUAAUUCGUAUUAUACAGUGAUCCCUUCAUUUCUUGAAUCGCAUCACGGUGGCUUUUAUGACGUUUGUUUUUCUAAAGAGCGAAAGGAAUCCCAGGUCAACCGAAGUUUAGAUUAACAUAACAAUGUGUGAACUAGAAAGGCUUACGUAACAAUGGUGAAGGAAGACGGGUUACGUAUGUUGAAUGUGGAGGCUGUCAAGGCUUAUAAAUGGGGAUUCUACGAAUGUCGAAAAUUAGGUUCCCACGUAUGUCGAAAGAGUUCCACGUGUGUCGAAGAUGUCGUUCAGGCACUGAGGUACACAAGAGACAGAAUGCCACUUAUAGCGAAGAUGGAAGUUCAAGAUGGGGUUCUACCUGUCGGAAACGUGGUUUUACCAUAGUCGCAGUUGUUCCACCAAACAUGUCUUUUCUUCGAAGAUCAGGCACCUCUAGGCACCUCUGAGAUACCUAACUUUAUAUAUGUCCUGGGGCACCUCGACCAAGUGGACCUAUUGAAGUUAGAUAUAGGGACAUACAUCUUUAGCUUUUCUAAUGUAAAGUGGGUUGGCAGGUUCAAAAGUAUGCCGAUGCCAUGAUUAGUAGCAUCAUUAUGGGAUGCUCUUCCUUAGGGAGCUGAGUAUGUGUUCUAGAAUUUGAUCGAAAUCAAAGAGCUGCUCUUAUCCAUAGGUAGGUAUAACAUUAUGUGAAGCACUCGAGGCCUUGAAAAUAAUUACACUAUAAAACUAACAACAUUAUUAUAUAUACUGAAGUAGGCUUACGAAGCCGAAGAUGGGUUUCCAGUAUGCAGUAAGAUAGGGUUUCAAGUAUGUCGAAUGAAAUAAUGACAUAAGAGAUUUUACUUGGAAUUUGCUAUAAUAUUUCACAUUUGCUGUUUAUUAACUAUGAUCAUUAAGUAGGCCUAUAUAAAAACCAUUAUUGAUAACUACCCGGUAGAUAAAAUAGGGUAGCUAAUAAGCCUAUUCAUAAAUGAUACAGAUAGGCCUAUAGUGCCUACGAUUAAAAUUCUAUUAGAUCACUAUCAAGUUUGUCAAAAAAUCCAGAGCCUUAUUGACAAAAUAGGUAAGAUAAUUUUAAAAUAAAUCAUUAUUAAUGCAUGUUAUGAUAUUGAUCUUGUCAUGACCCAAUAAAAGGAUAGCAGAUCUCUUAACCCCUGAGUCUUUUAAGAGUGAUGACGUGAUAGAUCGAGAAAAAUGGAGUAAAAAGACGGGCUUGAGGCAGGGGAAUUGAUACUCCAACAAAAUGAGCACAUCACUAAUCAAAUGAUUGAUAUAUAACAUAAAAUCAAGCGUUAACAAAAUACUACAGGAGUAGUCGAAAUAUUCUAUACUCUAUGUAGAGACAAACUCUAGGCCGUCUGGUGGUAAAGCUUUAAUAAAUAUAUAAAUUCACGUUAAAGAGGAAUCUGCGAGUGUGAAAAAGUAGCUAUCUGUGCAGAUGCCUUAACCAUGGGCCAUUGAGGAUUCGUUGGGAAUUCAAAUCCAAAUAAAGCAACUCAGACUGCACACCCUUUUGCACAUGCGUUGUUGAACAGCACUAGUUCUUCGUUGGAUAUAUACAAUUGUUUACUCACUGGUUAAACGAUUUGCCUUAUAAUUACAUAGAAUGUGAACAAAUGCUUUUAUUUUUUUUAAAUGUUUUAUUUAUUUAUUUGCAAUCAUUAUCAGUAAUACUAUCAUCACCAUAUAUUAUUCAUUAUUGCCAAUAAUACUUGAAAAGUAUUAUAAUAAACAUGGUCCAUCAUAUUAAUGGCAAAAGCUAAUCGGAACUAAACUGUGGUGAGAUUGACAUGAAUGUUAAAUUCCUCAGACAUUAUCAAAGGCUUUGGGCUUCCGAUAUCACUUUCUAUCUAAAGGAAGUCUAUUUAUUAUGAAUGAGAGGUGUACGCAAGGUAGUACAGUAUACGUUAUGCUUUGCCAACCGGUAAUUUCACAAAUCAAAAACUGUGUAUUAUAACAGAUCGAUGGUCCAUUCUGCUCUAAGGUGAUUAGAACUUGUUCAAAUAAUAGAUUGCCGAAGACGAAACCGGAGAAUAUUAUACUAAUAAUAAUCUUCCAUAUUUAAUCUAUUCUAAUUCUUUGUGAUUUUUGUUUAGAUAUCGCAUGUAAUUAGUUAUCGUUUUCUUCACACACUUUCGAAGAUUUAUGAUUGUAGCACGAUAGGUAGAAGGGGAAUUAAUUGGUUUUGAAAUUGUUGCCGAUGCCUCGUUGUUUGAGUACACUGAUGCGAUCUUAAUAAUAUGUUUCAACACCGCUGUACAAAUGAAGGCCCAAGAUAUCACAUUCAUGUAAUUAAAAACUUGUUUGAUAAUUUGAUUAACACGAAUUCAACUAAUUCGGUUAUUGACUCGUUAUCUUUAAUAGAUUUUGGACGUUCAUUGUAUUGAUUGUAAUGUAUACAGUAGAUAGGCUGUUGUGGUGAAUGUUGACUUAUUAUAAGAAGUAGGCCUAUUUAAUAAAAACUAAAAUGAAAUGUG
Molecule: long non-coding RNA, 2550 nt
Filed under: Anneissia japonica
Lineage: Eukaryota; Metazoa; Echinodermata; Crinoidea; Comatulida; Comatulidae
Description: uncharacterized LOC117119009
Source: RNAcentral